This 1250-nucleotide ribosomal RNA is filed under the name Tomato big bud phytoplasma. RNAcentral's name for it is "bacterial SSU rRNA". It matches the Rfam family "Bacterial small subunit ribosomal RNA", at positions 153 to 1399 of the family's 1533-position model. RNAcentral also lists the same sequence under 2 other names. Lineage: Bacteria; Bacillati; Mycoplasmatota; Mollicutes; Acholeplasmatales; Acholeplasmataceae. The record is from RNAcentral.
GAAACGGUUGCUAAGACUGGAUAGGAAACAAAAAGGCAUCUUUUUGUUUUUAAAAGACCUUCUUAUGAAGGUAUGCUUAAAGAGGGGCUUGCGCCACAUUAGUUAGUUGGUAGGGUAAAAGCCUACCAAGACGAUGAUGUGUAGCUGGACUGAGAGGUUGAACAGCCACAUUGGGACUGAGACACGGCCCAAACUCCUACGGGAGGCAGCAGUAGGGAAUUUUCGGCAAUGGAGGAAACUCUGACCGAGCAACGCCGCGUGAACGAUGAAGUAUUUCGGUAUGUAAAGUUCUUUUAUUGAAGAAGAAAAAGUAGUGGAAAAACUAUAUUGACGUUAUUCAAUGAAUAAGCCCCGGCUAACUAUGUGCCAGCAGCCGCGGUAAGACAUAGGGGGCGAGCGUUAUCCGGAAUUAUUGGGCGUAAAGGGUGCGUAGGCUGUUAGAUAAGUCUAUAAUUUAAUUUCAGUGCUUAACGCUGUCUUGUUAUAGAAACUGUCUUGACUAGAGUGAGAUAGAGGCAAGCGGAAUUCCAUGUGUAGCGGUAAAAUGUGUAAAUAUAUGGAGGAACACCAGAAGCGUAGGCGGCUUGCUGGGUCUUUACUGACGCUGAGGCACGAAAGCGUGGGUAGCAAACAGGAUUAGAUACCCUGGUAGUCCACGCCGUAAACGAUGAGUACUAAGUGUCGGGGUAAAACUCGGUACUGAAGUUAACACAUUAAGUACUCCGCCUGAGUAGUACGUACGCAAGUAUGAAACUUAAAGGAAUUGACGGGACUCCGCACAAGCGGUGGAUCAUGUUGUUUAAUUCGAAGAUACACGAAAAAUCUUACCAGGUCUUGACAUACUCUGCAAAGCUAUAGAAAUAUAGUGGAGGUUAUCAGGGAUACAGGUGGUGCAUGGUUGUCGUCAGUUCGUGUCGUGAGAUGUUAGGUUAAGUCCUAAAACGAGCGCAACCCUUGUCGUUAAUUGCCAGCACGUAAUGGUGGGGACUUUAGCGAGACUGCCAAUUAAACAUUGGAGGAAGGUGAGGAUUACGUCAAAUCAUCAUGCCCCUUAUGAUCUGGGCUACAAACGUGAUACAAUGGCUGUGACAAAGAGUAGCUGAAACGCGAGUUUUUAGCCAAUCUCAAAAAAGCAGUCUCAGUUCGGAUUGAAGUCUGUAACUCGACUUCAUGAAGUUGGAAUCGCUAGUAAUCGCGAAUCAGCAUGUCGCGGUGAAUACGUUCUCGGGGUUUGUACACACCGCCCGUCA